This 606-nucleotide ribosomal RNA is filed under the name Triticum aestivum (bread wheat). Its description in RNAcentral is "partial small subunit ribosomal RNA". Lineage: Eukaryota; Viridiplantae; Streptophyta; Magnoliopsida; Poales; Poaceae. The record is from RNAcentral.
AUGGAGUUUGUAGUGGGUGCUUCGGAAGCCACCAUGAGAUCUCUCCUAGGCAAAUUGGGCGGUCUCCUUGCCCAAGAGUACACUCUGAUUCGCGGCGUCCGCGGCGACAUCCAGUACAUCAGCGAUGAGCUCGCCAGCAUGCAGGCCUUUCUUGGCGACCUCGGCUCUGCCCUGGAUGACCACGAUCGCCGGCUCAAGAACUGGAUGAAGCAGAUUCGUGACAUGGCAUACGACAUGGAAGACUGCAUCGAUGACUUUGCUCAUCGCCUCCCUCAGGACUCUCUCAGCGGUGCAAGAUGCUCCUUCAUCGUGACGAUAGUCUACGAGAUGUGGACAUUCUGGCCUCGCCGUGACAUUGCCUCCAAGAUUGCCGAGCUCAAGGUCCGGGCACAGUACAUUGCUGAGAGGCGCAGCAGAUAUGGAGUGAACAACCCAAACCCAAGAACAAGCUCCGGAGCCGGAGCAACCCAUGCUGUUACGUAUGGCAUUGCUGAGCAUUUGGUGGCGAGCCGUCAGCUCAUCCGCACAGAGAACCCCGUGGGAGUGAAGGUGGACAUGAAGAAGCUAGGAGGUUGGCUAGCCAAACAUGAUAAAGGCUCUCAUUGA